UUAAUUGAAACCAAAUAGAGGUAUAUCACUGUUAAUGAUAUCAUUGGAGAAUCGCGCCCAAUUAAA
RNAcentral lists this transfer RNA (66 nucleotides) under Teispes insularis. RNAcentral's name for it is "tRNA-Asn". The record is from RNAcentral. Lineage: Eukaryota; Metazoa; Arthropoda; Insecta; Coleoptera; Cerambycidae.